CGCGCAUUUAUUUGGCAGGUAAACUCAGGUAAGCUUAGGCAAUAACUCUUAUUUAUCUAUAAAUUUAUUCAAUUAUUUUUAAGUAAAAGUAUCCUUUCCGUAAGUCCAAGUCACCUACUCACCCACUAGGAGGUAGACGUUGGAUACAAGCAGGAUAAGUCGGUUGCAUUAUAUUCUAUCAAUCCGAUUUGCUAUAUAAAAAAAAAAAAACUUCAAAUGUUCGUUACUUGACAAAACUUUACAAACUAACUUAGAUUGUUUACAAAUUUUAAAAAGAUCACUAUUCGGGGUACUUAGAUAUAGGAAUAUAUAAAAAAGUACUUGUUUACCCUGAAAAAUUCGCAAUGAAGUUACAUGUAUGCCUUAAGUUAUAACAGAAUUUAGCAUGCACACUUUAUAUCAAGUUGUCUUAGAAUACGAUAUGAACAACAUAUGAUUGAAG
Molecule: long non-coding RNA, 442 nt
Filed under: Mytilus galloprovincialis (Mediterranean mussel)
Lineage: Eukaryota; Metazoa; Mollusca; Bivalvia; Mytilida; Mytilidae
Source: RNAcentral